RNAcentral lists this ribosomal RNA (503 nucleotides) under Catochrysops strabo. RNAcentral describes it as "partial 16S ribosomal RNA". The stretch from base 378 to 503 matches the Rfam family "Bacterial large subunit ribosomal RNA", at positions 2473 to 2599 of the family's 2925-position model. Lineage: Eukaryota; Metazoa; Arthropoda; Insecta; Lepidoptera; Lycaenidae. The record is from RNAcentral.
UUUGAGUUAAUUUAAAGUCCAAUCUGCCCACUGAUUUAUUAAAGGGCUGCAGUAAUUUGACUGUACAAAGGUAGCAUAAUCAUUAGUCUUUUAAUUGAAGACUUGUAUGAAGGAUUUGAUGAAAUAUAAACUGUCUCUAAAUUAUAAUUAAAAUUUAAUUUUUUAGUUAAAAAGCUAAAAUAAAUUUAAAAGACGAGAAGACCCUAUAGAGUUUUAUAGUUUAUAAUUUAAAAUAUUUAUAUAAAAAUUUAAUAUAAAAUAUUAUAAAUUAUUUUGUUGGGGUGAUAAAAAAAUAAGAAAAACUUUUUUUUUUAUAUAAACAUAAAUAAUUGAAUUAAUGAUCCUAAGUAAAGAUUAUAAGAAAAAAUUACCUUAGGGAUAACAGCGUAAUAUUUUUUUUUAGUACAAAUAAAAAAAAAAGUUUGCGACCUCGAUGUUGGAUUAAGAUAAAAUUUAAAUGCAAAAGUUUAAAAUUUUGAUCUGUUCGAUCAUUAAAAUCUUAC